UACAGAGGCGGCAAGCGUUGUUCGGAAUUACUGGGCGUAAAGGGCGCGUAGGCGGCCUUCUAAGUCAGACGUGAAAUCCCCCGGCUUAACCUGGGAACUGCGUCUGAUACUGGGAGGCUUGAGUAUGGGAGAGGGAUGUAGAAUUCCAGGUGUAGCGGUGAAAUGCGUAGAUAUCUGGAGGAAUACCGGUGGCGAAGGCGGCAUCCUGGACCAUAACUGACGCUGAGGCGCGAAAGCUAGGGGAGCAAACGGG
RNAcentral lists this ribosomal RNA (253 nucleotides) under uncultured bacterium. RNAcentral's name for it is "partial 16S ribosomal RNA". It matches the Rfam family "Bacterial small subunit ribosomal RNA", at positions 524 to 776 of the family's 1533-position model. The record is from RNAcentral.